Molecule: ribosomal RNA, 756 nt
Filed under: uncultured marine haptophyte
Lineage: Eukaryota; Haptophyta
Description: bacterial SSU rRNA
Rfam family: Bacterial small subunit ribosomal RNA
Source: RNAcentral
GGUGCAAGCGUUAUCCGGAAUCAUUGGGCGUAAAGCGCCUGUAGGUUGUUUAAUAAGUCCGUUGUUAAAGACUAGGGCUUAACCCUAGGAAAGCGAUGGAAACUGAUAGACUUGAGUAUGGCAGGGGUAGAGGGAAUUUCUAGUGUAGCGGUGAAAUGCGUAGAUAUUAGAAAGAACACCGGUGGCGAAAGCGCUCUACUGGACCAUUACUGACACUGAGAGGCGAAAGCUAGGGGAGCGAAAGGGAUUAGAUACCCCUGUAGUCCUAGCCGUAAACGAUGGAUACUAGAUGUUGUGCAAUUUGGACAGUAUCGUAGCUAACGCGUUAAGUAUCCCGCCUGGGGAGUACGCUCGCAAGGGUGAAACUCAAAGGAAUUGACGGGGGCCCGCACAAGCGGUGGAGCAUGUGGUUUAAUUCGAUGCAACGCGAAGAACCUUACCAGGGCUUGACAUACUACAGAUCUUUUUGAGAAAGAAGAGUGCCUUCGGGAAUGUAGAUACAGGUGGUGCAUGGCUGUCGUCAGCUCGUGUCGUGAGAUGUUGGGUUAAGUCCCGCAACGAGCGCAACCCUCGUUUUUAGUUGCCAAUUUAUUGGGAUCUCUAGAAAGACUGCCGGUGACAAACCGGAGGAAGGUGAGGAUGACGUCAAGUCAGCAUGCCCCUUAUGUCCUGGGCCACACACGUGCUACAAUGGUAAAGACAAAGAGUCGCCAAUUCGCGAGAAUGAGCUAAUCUCAUAAACUUUAUCUAAGUUCG